UAACAGGAUUCCCUCAGUAACGGCGAGUGAACAGGGAAAAGCCCAGCACCGAAGCCUGUGGCCAUUUGGUUACUAGGCAAUGUGGUGUUUAGGUCGUUCCACAGAGGUUCUGCUCCACCCUAAGUCCAUCAAUGAGUACGGUAGUAUGGACAUGGCCCGCAGAGGGUGAAAGGCCCGUGGGGGUGGAGACAUAAUGGCCAGAGCCUCUCUGGGUAGACCUUGGAGUCGGGUUGUUUGUGAAUGCAGCCCAAAGUGGGUGGUAAACUCCAUCCAAGGCUAAAUACUUGCACGAGUCCGAUAGCGAACAAGUACCGUGAGGGAAAGUUGAAAAGUACUUUGAAGAGAGAGUAAACAGUGCGUGAAACCGCUCAGAGGUAAACGGGUGGAGUUGAACUGCAAGCUUUGAGAAUUCAGCUGGUGAGUAUGGUUUGAGCUGGGUUAAUUGGUGAACUCCGGAGUCUGCGUAUUAGCAGGUCUUCAUCUUCGGAUGGAGAUGCGCGGUGCACUCAUCAAGUGUUGUGCGCUCCGGUUUUUAUACCACCUGCUCGUCAGUGCACUUUCUCAAAGUAGUCACCUCGAUCGGCAUUGCUGUCCGGCGAACACGGUUAAACCUUUUUUGCAUUGUCUUGACCGGCUUUGUAAAAUCGGGAAGGCAGGUAGCUCGUUGGCUUGCUUGUAGCUCGCUACAGGCGUUCGGUCUUCGAGUGUAUGCUGACCGUACUAGCAUUGUGCAGUAUGUCGGAGACGGCGGCUUGUGGUGUGUGCAUGUGUAAUCAUUUGCUGACUUGUCCGGGUUUGGUUAUUUAGUUGCCUGUAAAAGCAGGCCUGGUGAUGGCCCGGGUGUGUUCGGUGGAUGUUUGCAUGUGUUUCACUAGUCCAAGGGCCAAUAGUCUGAGGUGUAGUGGUAGACUUUCCACCUGACCCGUCUUGAAACACGGACCAAGGAGAGUAACAUGUGCGCGAGUCAUUGGGCGUUACGAAACCCAAAGGCGAAGUGAAAGUAAAGAUCUGACUUGUUCAGAUUGAGGUGAGAUCCUGACGUUUCCCAUGCAUGGUACUACCCAGCACAGAGCGGCAGGCGCAUCACCGGCCCGUCCCAUGACAGUUGUCUUUGGCAGUUUUCAGUCGGGGCGGAGCAUGAGCGUACAUGUUGAGACCCGAAAGAUGGUGAACUAUGCUUGCGCAGGUUGAAGCCAGAGGAAACUCUGGUGGAGGACCGCAGCGAUUCUGACGUGCAAAUCGAUCGUCAAACGUGAGUAUAGGGGCGAAAGACUAAUCGAAC
RNAcentral lists this ribosomal RNA (1282 nucleotides) under Orientocreadium pseudobagri. Its description in RNAcentral is "eukaryotic LSU rRNA". It matches the Rfam family "Eukaryotic large subunit ribosomal RNA", at positions 66 to 940 of the family's 3401-position model. The record is from RNAcentral. Lineage: Eukaryota; Metazoa; Platyhelminthes; Trematoda; Plagiorchiida; Orientocreadiidae.